Molecule: ribosomal RNA, 465 nt
Filed under: uncultured bacterium
Lineage: Bacteria
Description: partial 16S ribosomal RNA
Rfam family: Bacterial small subunit ribosomal RNA
Source: RNAcentral
CCUACGGGAGGCAGCAGUGGGGAAUAUUGCGCAAUGGGCGAAAGCCUGAUGCAGCGACGCCGCGUGGGGGAUGAAGGUCCUCGGAUCGUAAACCUCUGUCAGCGUGGAAGAACGGUCACUAUGCUAAUCAGCAGUGAAUUGACGGUACUAGCAGAGGAAGCACCGGCUAACUCGGUGACAGCAGCCGCGGUAAUACGGAGGGUGCGAGCGUUAAUCGGAAUUAAUGGGCGUAAAGCGUUCGUAGGCGGUAUGGUAAGUCAAGUGUGAAAUCCCCGCGCUCAACCCGGGAACCGCAUUUGACACUGAGAGACUAGAGUGAGUGAGAGGGUAGUGGAAUUCUAGGUGUAGGAGUGAAAUGCGUAGAUAUCUAGAGGAACACCAGUGGCGAAGGCGGGUAUCUGGCCCAUAACUGACGCUGAGGCACGAAGGCGUGGGUAGCGAAAGGGAUUAGAUACCCUUGUAGUC